Long non-coding RNA from Myotis brandtii (Brandt's bat), 1976 nucleotides. RefSeq lists it as uncharacterized. NCBI's taxonomy places the organism in Eukaryota, Metazoa, Chordata, Mammalia, Chiroptera, Vespertilionidae. The record is from RefSeq and is a predicted model, not a curated record. The transcript is spliced from 2 exons.
GAGGAGGGCAGCCUCCCCCCCAAACCCCACGCCCUCCCUCUCCUCGCUCCUGGGCGUCACUAAAGUCCAGGAAAAUUAUGCUAAUGAGGACAACGGGCUCUCACAAAGGGGUCUCUCGCCGGGUUCUAUUUCUUAGGAAGCCGUUUGAGAAACCAUGUCACCCUCUGCCCCAGACACUUCCAGUUGAGGGGCGAGGAAACAAGAACCAGAGAGAGUCCCCCAGACUUCGGGCGGUUGCCCUCACCUGCCACCCCUAAUCUAAGAACCACAAAGCCAAUCUGGGGGGGGGGGGGGCUCGGAUAGGGCCUCCUUUCUCGAGAGACCUCCCCACGAGCCUACAGGGCUGCCCGUGGUUAUGUUUCUAGGCAGAAACACUGAAAUCCUGGCAGCCGGGAGCAAAGGAGCCGGGAGAUGCACGGUGGGGGGCGGGCAAAUGGGCAGCCCCAGGCUCAGGUAGCACAAGGUUCCAGAAACCUGGGCCUCCAGCCCUUGUGUGCGGGGGUCACAGGACAAACAUGCAGGUCACUCACAGGGAAGGACUGAUAAAGCUCUGACCCCAACAGCCACCGACAUCCACGGUAUCCACCCCCCACCCUAGUUAGUGGUACACAGGGAAGCUGAGCAGAGGAAAGGCCUGAAUGUGCCCGCAAUAUUUCCACAACUUUAAGGAGGAUAGUCUCCCUCCCUCCAUUGCCUCGCUCAACUCCCCAGAUUCAGAAGUGAACCCUGCAAGGGUAUGUGUGUGACAAAAAGGGAGAAAUGGAGCUUUCGUGCAAUUCUAAGGUGUCAACGGCCGGUCCUUCUCAAAGGAAGGUGUUAAAAAUAUAAGUAGUAUGUUUAAACUGUCAGGGAGCCAAAGUGUCACCUUAGAGCAAAAACAAAGCCAAGGGAGAAGGGAGAAAUCAAAAAGCACUCCGGGCCAGGGUGGCCUCAUGCAUACCAAUGGUUUUUGUCAUUUAUGGCUGGGCAAGAUUUAUGACUCGGCGCCCCAAAGCUGUAAACAGAGCACAAAACAGCAAACACUUGCUCCUUAUGGCAUAUUGCAGCAGCUCAACUUGAAAGGGGGAGCCGGGCCGCGUAGGAGGCGAGAGCCGGCCACAAAAAUCCGCUCGGCGGCAUUUUCUCUUCAAACUGUCCAGGUCCGAUGUGGCAUUUGAAGAAAGAAGGCGUGGGUCAAUAAUCAACCCGCACUUUCUCCUCCAAACUGCUGACGCGACUCUCACGCUUCUCAACUCAGCCAGCUGCCUGCAGGGACGGCCAGCUCUCUGUGAGACCUGCCAGGGAAGGGAUGGCCCGGCCGCGGGAUCGAGGGCACCGAGAGAAAAAUCCCUCCUGUCGAUGUUCCAUGGCCAGAAACUACCCUUGGCUGCUGCUGCUGUGUCCUUUCCAGGCAAAUCCCGCAGCCAUGCACCCGGCUCCACCAAAACCACUGAGGUUUUCUUUGCUAAGAAGACUCCAUGGCUCCCCAAAUUCCCCCCAAGUCCCCGUGCUCCCAGCCUCCCGCCCACAGGGACCAGAAGAAACCCUUUUCUCAGCACUAGAAGAAUAUUUGGAGCAGCGAGGGCACGCUGCUGCCUUCUCAGGGGUCUUCUUAUGAAGUGUCUGAGAGGCCACCGUGGCUGGGAGCGCUGGCUGGGCAGCCAGGGACCAAGGUGAGGAACGACUGUUGGCAAGAAGAGGCAUCAAAACCCCCAAAUGGGGAGGACAGUUCAUGAGGAAAUACACUUGCCUGUGAGGGCGAGGCUGGCGCUGGGAGGGUGAAAAGGGGCUAAGCUUUCUUAUAGCUACAGUUUAGCUGUAACGGAGUAGCUCUAGCUCUUUCCUUGGAGGAAAAGCCAACCGGUGCUCUCUGUAUGUGGCUGUUGGUUUCCUCUCACUGUGCACACUUUUGUACAGAACCAGUUGGAGAGUCCUCCCUUAGAUAUUUAUUCUGCUCGCUAGUACUGAAGCAACAAUAAAAAGAUGCCUUUAACAAA